AUGCAAGUCGAGCGAAUGGAUUAAGAGCUUGCUCUUAUGAAGUUAGCGGCGGACGGGUGAGUAACACGUGGGUAACCUGCCCAUAAGACUGGGAUAACUCCGGGAAACCGGGGCUAAUACCGGAUAACAUUUUGAACCGCAUGGUUCGAAAUUGAAAGGCGGCUUCGGCUGUCACUUAUGGAUGGACCCGCGUCGCAUUAGCUAGUUGGUGAGGUAACGGCUCACCAAGGCAACGAUGCGUAGCCGACCUGAGAGGGUGAUCGGCCACACUGGGACUGAGACACGGCCCAGACUCCUACGGGAGGCAGCAGUAGGGAAUCUUCCGCAAUGGACGAAAGUCUGACGGAGCAACGCCGCGUGAGUGAUGAAGGCUUUCGGGUCGUAAAACUCUGUUGUUAGGGAAGAACAAGUGCUAGUUGAAUAAGCUGGCACCUUGACGGUACCUAACCAGAAAGCCACGGCUAACUACGUGCCAGCAGCCGCGGUAAUACGUAGGUGGCAAGCGUUAUCCGGAAUUAUUGGGCGUAAAGCGCGCGCAGGUGGUUUCUUAAGUCUGAUGUGAAAGCCCACGGCUCAACCGUGGAGGGUCAUUGGGAACUGGGAGACUUGAGUGCAGAAGAGGAAAGUGGAAU
Molecule: ribosomal RNA, 632 nt
Filed under: uncultured bacterium
Lineage: Bacteria
Description: bacterial SSU rRNA
Rfam family: Bacterial small subunit ribosomal RNA
Source: RNAcentral